AUGCCGGUCAGACAGCAACAGGGUGUCCAGGGAGGACGGAGCAACGAGGAGGCAGGGCCAAGGCCGAGGAAUGACGCUCCGGCACUCACAACUUGCACUACUGUAGCCGCCGGAGGAGGGGAACCCGAUCCCCUCCUGGCCAGAGGCCGCCGGACCAAGCUGUCACCAGUUGCACAGAGAGCACCAGAAGAAACCCGAACACUGCCGGACCUGCCAAGCUGCCGCCACCGCCACUUGGGGCACACAGUCGCCGCCGCCCGAAAACCACCACACCGUAGUGCCCACAAUCCAAAAAGCAUCCAAGGCGACGACUUCAAGAAGCAAACGGAGCCAAGAGCACCGUCGCCGCCCAACAAAGUUCGAGCUUUCACCCGGGAGGCUAGGGGAAGGGGGGGUGGAGCAAAAGACCUAAAUGGCGCCUCCAAGAAGGGGAUCGGCGUCCAUGGACGUCGCCACCAUGGAUUUCUCCCGGUCAAGGCUCCACACCACCAACACCACAUCCAGCUCCAGGCACCGGAGAACCAAGUCGACCCGGACCAGAUCUGA
Molecule: ribosomal RNA, 546 nt
Filed under: Triticum aestivum (bread wheat)
Lineage: Eukaryota; Viridiplantae; Streptophyta; Magnoliopsida; Poales; Poaceae
Description: partial small subunit ribosomal RNA
Source: RNAcentral